RNAcentral lists this ribosomal RNA (446 nucleotides) under uncultured bacterium. Its description in RNAcentral is "partial 16S ribosomal RNA". It matches the Rfam family "Bacterial small subunit ribosomal RNA", at positions 338 to 795 of the family's 1533-position model. The record is from RNAcentral.
CCUACGGUGCGCAGCAGUCGAGAAUCAUUCACAAUGGGGGAAACCCUGAUGGUGCGACGCCGCGUGGGGGAAUGAAGGUCUUCGGAUUGUAAACCCCUGUCAUGUGGGAGCAAAUUAAAAAGAUAGUACCACAAGAGGAAGAGACGGCUAACUCUGUGACAGCAGCCGCGGUAAUACAGAGGUCUCAAGCGUUGUUCGGAAUCACUGGGCGUAAAGCGUGCGUAGGCUGUUUCGUAAGUCGUGUGUGAAAGGCGCGGGCUCAACCCGCGGACGGCACAUGAUACUGCGAGACUAGAGUAAUGGAGGGGGAACCGGAAUUCUCGGUGUAGCAGUGAAAUGCGUAGAUAUCGAGAGGAACACUCGUGGCGAAGGCGGGUUCCUGGACAUUAACUGACGCUGAGGCACGAAGGCCAGGGGAGCGAAAGGGAUUAGAUACCCCUGUAGUC